This 1276-nucleotide long non-coding RNA is filed under the name Mus spicilegus (steppe mouse). Its description in RNAcentral is "lncRNA (ENSMSIG00000007583.1)". Lineage: Eukaryota; Metazoa; Chordata; Mammalia; Rodentia; Muridae. The record is from RNAcentral.
AUGCUUCAGCUCUCACCCCUGCUUCCUCUCUUUGCCAGAGAGAAGUGCUAUCAGCUACUAAAAGUGAAUACUAAAUGGCCUAUCUAUGUAAGAGAUUCUCAGAGGGAAGCCCAAAGCCCAGGAAGAAAUGAUGGACCAGAAACCACAGGACAUGCUCGAAGACUCGCUGCAUGGUGGAUGGCCCAGAGACGGCGGGGCUCACAGACGGUCACGUUUAGUGCUUGCAGAUUGGUAAUGUCUGUGCCCUUGGCUUUGUUUAUUCUGGUCAUACAAUGAUCAACCAGUUCUCAGUGCUGCCAUCGAGGGCUUUCUGGACAGCAUGGCACCUUCCAUAAGGAGACCUUGGCUUCAGUAGCUAGUCCAGGUAUGUACAAUGACAGUCACACACUCGCAUUAUGGUGUAUAGCAGUACUGUGCUUCCUGACAAGAACCUAACCACUGAUGAAAGGGUUGUGAUAUUUGGGAGGGUGCUGGUAUCAUUUCCAGACCAUCAUGGGAGGGAGAGAAUCAUGUAGCAGAUAAUGUGUGUCUCCUGCUUUGGGUGAGCCUUACUCCUUGAUGAUUUGAAUAAGUCUGUGGAGUCAGGCAAGUGUAAGGGUAUUCUGGUGUGACCCUGGUAGAAACAAGAGUAUCAGCUGGCACGUAAUUGGUCACUCUUCCUGCUUUUGCUCCAGAGACGAUUCCUUGACCGACACAUCUUGCUGACAAAUGUCGGGCUGUCUUGCUUCAUAGUGGGAAGUUCACUGAGAAAUACCUGGGUUUUGUUUCUGAUGCCUAGCACUUGGCUUGCUCAUCUGCAGGAGAGUUGUUAUCCUAACGGAUGCUGGGAGAAGGCUGAGGUCUUCCCAUGACCCUCUUUGGGGAUUUUGAUUUUAUUUAAGUUAAAUUUUUUUCAAAAGUUAAAUUCUUAUUAAUAUCCCAACUUCAUGCUCCACAAAUUGGUCAAGAACAGUGACAAGAGAAUCCAUGCGGGCUGUUGUGCAGAUUUUAGAGAGCUGAUAAAGAUAUCACGAGGAUGAGCAAUCUUCCCAACUGGAAGAGUGGAGACUGGGGGUGCUCUUAAAGUAGGGCUAGCCGGUGUACCUAGGGACUGGAUGAGCCAACAUCAGAUGUGAACAUGUAGGAAGAGGAGGGGCCAAAGUAGUAUAACUGUAAUGUUGGCGGAACCACAAUCCCUGAAUGAUUCAGUGGGCUGCAGGGAGCAUCCUUGCUGGUAUCAUGGCUAUCUCAGCUAAGGCAAUGACCCUGGAUGGUCUGAAAGGUUGCUAAGAUGGAA